GGGCUCAUGGUCUAGUGGUUAUGACGUUUGCCUCACACGCAGAAGAUCGCCGGUUCGAAUCCGGCUGAGCCCA
This 73-nucleotide transfer RNA is filed under the name Methanomassiliicoccales archaeon. RNAcentral describes it as "tRNA-Val". It matches the Rfam family "tRNA". Rfam says of the family: Transfer RNA (tRNA) molecules are approximately 80 nucleotides in length. The record is from RNAcentral. Lineage: Archaea; Methanobacteriati; Thermoplasmatota; Thermoplasmata; Methanomassiliicoccales.